This 933-nucleotide ribosomal RNA is filed under the name Bacillus sp. S1(2014). RNAcentral's name for it is "bacterial SSU rRNA". It matches the Rfam family "Bacterial small subunit ribosomal RNA", at positions 601 to 1532 of the family's 1533-position model. Lineage: Bacteria; Bacillati; Bacillota; Bacilli; Caryophanales; Bacillaceae. The record is from RNAcentral.
CCCCCGGCUCAACCGGGGAGGGUCAUUGGAAACUGGGAAACUUGAGUGCAGAAGAGGAGAGUGGAAUUCCACGUGUAGCGGUGAAAUGCGUAGAGAUGUGGAGGAACACCAGUGGCGAAGGCGACUCUCUUGUCUGUAACUGACGCUGAGGAGCGAAAGCGUGGGGAGCGAACAGGAUUAGACUCCCUGGUAGUCCACGCCGUAAACGAUGAGUGGUAAGUGUUAGGGGGUUUUCGCCCCUUAGUGCUGCAGCUAACGCAUUAAGCACUCCGCCUGGGGAGUACGGUCGCAAGACUGAAACUCAAAGGAAUUGACGGGGGCCCGCACAAGCGGUGGAGCAUGUGGUUUAAUUUGAAGCAACGCGAAGAACCUUUCCAGGUCUUGACAUCCUUUGACAACCCUAGAGAUAGGGCUUUCCCUUUCGGGGACAGAGUGACAGGUGGUGCAUGGUUGUCGUCAGCUCGUGUCGUGAGAUGUUGGGUUAAGUCCCGCAACGAGCGCAACCCUUGAUCUUAGUUGCCAGCAUUCAGUUGGGCACUCUAAGGUGACUGCCGGUGACAAACCGGAGGAAGGUGGGGAUGACGUCAAAUCAUCAUGCCCCUUAUGACCUGGGCUACACACGUGCUACAAUGGACAGAACAAAGGGCUGCAAGACCGCAAGGUUUAGCCAAUCCCAUAAAUCUGUUCUCAGUUCGGAUCGCAGUCUGCAACUCGACUGCGUGAAGCUGGAAUCGCUAGUAAUCGCGGAUCAGCAUGCCGCGGUGAAUACGUUCCCGGGCCUUGUACACACCGCCCGUCACACCACGAGAGUUUGCAACACCCGAAGUCGGUGAGGUAACCUUUAUGGAGCCAGCCGCCGAAGGUGGGGCAGAUGAUUGGGGUGAAGUCGUAACAAGGUAGCCGUAUCGGAAGGUGCGGCUGGAUCACCUCCUU